GGGUUGUGAGGUUAAGCGACUAAGCGUACACGGUGGAUGCCCUGGCAGUCAGAGGCGAUGAAGGACGUGCUAAUCUGCGAAAAGCGUCGGUAAGGUGAUAUGAACCGUUACAGCCGGCGAUGUCCGAAUGGGGAAACCCAGUGCAAUUCGUUGCACUAUCGUUAACUGAAUACAUAGGUUAACGAGGCGAACCGGGGGAACUGAAACAUCUAAGUACCCCGAGGAAAAGAAAUCAACCGAGAUUCCCCCAGUAGCGGCGAGCGAACGGGGAGCAGCCCAGAGUCUGAAUCAGCUUGUGUGUUAGUGGAACGGUCUGGAAAGUCCGACGGUACAGGGUGAUAGUCCCGUACACCAAAAUGCACAGGUUGUGAACUCGAAGAGUAGGGCGGGACACGUGGUAUCCUGUCUGAAUAUGGGGGGACCAUCCUCCAAGGCUAAAUACUCCUGACUGACCGAUAGUGAACCAGUACCGUGAGGGAAAGGCGAAAAGAACCCCGGCGAGGGGAGUGAAAAAGAACCUGAAACCGUGUACGUACAAGCAGUGGGAGCACCUUCGGGUGUGACUGCGUACCUUUUGUAUAAUGGGUCAGCGACUUAUAUUCUGUAGCAAGGUUAACCGUAUAGGGGAGCCGCAGGGAAACCGAGUCUUAACUGGGCGUUAAGUUGCAGGGUAUAGACCCGAAACCCGGUGAUCUAGCCAUGGGCAGGUUGAAGGUUGGGUAACACUAACUGGAGGACCGAACCGACUAAUGUUGAAAAAUUAGCGGAUGACUUGUGGCUGGGGGUGAAAGGCCAAUCAAACCGGGAGAUAGCUGGUUCUCCCCGAAAGCUAUUUAGGUAGCGCCUCGUGAACUCAUCUUCGGGGGUAGAGCACUGUUUCGGCUAGGGGGUCAUCCCGACUUACCAACCCGAUGCAAACUACGAAUACCGAAGAAUGUUAUCACGGGAGACACACGGCGGGUGCUAACGUCCGUCGUGAAGAACAACCCAGACCGCCAGCUAAGGUCCCAAAGUCAUGGUUAAGUGGGAAACGAUGUGGGAAGGCACAGACAGCCAGGAUGUUGGCUUAGAAGCAGCCAUCAUUUAAAGAAAGCGUAAUAGCUCACUGGUCGAGUCGGCCUGCGCGGAAGAUGUAACGGGCUAAACCAUGCACCGAAGCUGCGGCAGCGACACUAUGUGUUGUUGGGUAGGGGAGCGUUCUGUAAGCCUGCGAAGGUGUGCUGUGAGGCAUGCUGGAGGUAUCAGAAGUGCGAAUGCUGACAUAAGUAACGAUAAAGCGGGUGAAAAGCCCGCUCGCCGGAAGACCAAGGGUUCCUGUCCAACGUUAAUCGGGGCAGGGUGAGUCGACCCCUAAGGCGAGGCCGAAAGGCGUAGUCGAUGGGAAACAGGUUAAUAUUCCUGUACUUGGUGUUACUGCGAAGGGGGGACGGAGAAGGCUAUGUUAGCCGGGCGACGGUUGUCCCGGUUUAAGCAUGUAGGCUGGUUAUCCAGGCAAAUCCGGAUAAUCAAGGCUGAGGUGUGAUGACGAGGCACUACGGUGCUGAAGUAACAAAUGCCCUGCUUCCAGGAAAAGCCUCUAAGCAUCAGGUAACAUCAAAUCGUACCCCAAACCGACACAGGUGGUCAGGUAGAGAAUACCAAGGCGCUUGAGAGAACUCGGGUGAAGGAACUAGGCAAAAUGGUGCCGUAACUUCGGGAGAAGGCACGCUGGUGUGUAGGUGAAGUCCCUGCGGAUGGAGCUGAGACCAGUCGAAGAUACCAGCUGGCUGCAACUGUUUAUUAAAAACACAGCACUGUGCAAACACGAAAGUGGACGUAUACGGUGUGACGCCUGCCCGGUGCCGGAAGGUUAAUUGAUGGGGUUAUCCGUAAGGAGAAGCUCUUGAUCGAAGCCCGGUAAACGGCGGCCGUAACUAUAACGGUCCUAAGGUAGCGAAAUUCCUUGUCGGGUAAGUUCCGACCUGCACGAAUGGCGUAAUGAUGGCCAGGCUGUCUCCACCCGAGACUCAGUGAAAUUGAACUCGCUGUGAAGAUGCAGUGUACCCGCGGCAAGACGGAAAGACCCCGUGAACCUUUACUAUAGCUUGACACUGAACAUUGAGCCUUGAUGUGUAGGAUAGGUGGGAGGCUUUGAAGCGUGGACGCCAGUCUGCGUGGAGCCAACCUUGAAAUACCACCCUUUAAUGUUUGAUGUUCUAACGUUGGCCCCUGACCGGGGUUGCGGACAGUGUCUGGUGGGUAGUUUGACUGGGGCGGUCUCCUCCCAAAGCGUAACGGAGGAGCACGAAGGUUAGCUAAUCCCUGGUCGGACAUCAGGAGGUUAGUGCAAUGGCAUAAGCUAGCUUGACUGCGAGCGUGACGGCGCGAGCAGGUGCGAAAGCAGGUCAUAGUGAUCCGGUGGUUCUGAAUGGAAGGGCCAUCGCUCAACGGAUAAAAGGUACUCCGGGGAUAACAGGCUGAUACCGCCCAAGAGUUCAUAUCGACGGCGGUGUUUGGCACCUCGAUGUCGGCUCAUCACAUCCUGGGGCUGAAGUAGGUCCCAAGGGUAUGGCUGUUCGCCAUUUAAAGUGGUACGCGAGCUGGGUUUAGAACGUCGUGAGACAGUUCGGUCCCUAUCUGCCGUGGGCGCUGGAGAAUUGAGGGGGGCUGCUCCUAGUACGAGAGGACCGGAGUGGACGCAUCACUGGUGUUCGGGUUGUCAUGCCAAUGGCACUGCCCGGUAGCUAAAUGCGGAAGAGAUAAGUGCUGAAAGCAUCUAAGCACGAAACUUGCCCCGAGAUGAGUUCUCCCUGAGACUUUAAGUCUCCUGAAGGAACGUUAAAGACGAUGACGUUGAUAGGCCGGGUGUGUAAGCGCAGCGAUGCGUUGAGCUAACCGGUACUAAUGAACCGUGAGGCUUAACCUUACAACGCCGAAG
This 2917-nucleotide ribosomal RNA is filed under the name Klebsiella pneumoniae. RNAcentral's name for it is "23S ribosomal RNA". It matches the Rfam family "Bacterial large subunit ribosomal RNA". Lineage: Bacteria; Pseudomonadati; Pseudomonadota; Gammaproteobacteria; Enterobacterales; Enterobacteriaceae. The record is from RNAcentral.